This 2557-nucleotide long non-coding RNA is filed under the name Homo sapiens (human). Its description in RNAcentral is "HSALNT0319162". The record is from RNAcentral. Lineage: Eukaryota; Metazoa; Chordata; Mammalia; Primates; Hominidae.
UACUUCUUCCUUUCUAACAGAUAGUUUUGAACACAAUUUAAUGUUUUUCUUGUAGACUUAGGGUUUAAUCACAGACCACCUUCACUGUAUUGUCUUUGCUGCCUAGCAUUUGGCUGUAACCACAUUUCAUACUUAUCACAAGAGCUGUACAUUGAAACUAUAAAGUAGAUCUUGCUGUGGACCAGGAACCCAGGUAGCCAAGCUCAUUAGGAAUCAGAAAUGAAAUAAUGCCAAAUAAGUUCUAGUGGGAAUCUUAAGUAUGUGACUCUUAACAACAAUUUGAAGGUGCAGGUGGACUUCUUUUAUGCAUUUCUAGGUUACAAUACAUAUUCUGGAGGACUAAGGUUGUUGACAAUCUGACCAAAUAAAAGCAGUACUAUUUCACAGCUAUACAGAAUCAAAUCUUUGUAUUUAUUGCACGUUAAUAACCAAGAUAUAUGAUACUCAGUUAUCAAAUGAGGGAAAACAACACCAAAAUCAAAUUUCAAAACUCCUGUGUGUAGACAUCUACUCCACAACUAGUGAUCAAGUGAAUAAAUUUAAAAUACAUCCAAAUACACAUUGUAUUAAAAAGCUAUGCAUGCGGCAAUGAGUCAAUAACCAAGGUGACUUUUGUUUGUUCACAGGCAUUAUGUAUAGCCUCUCACACGUCACUAAUACUCUUACAAAUAUAAUACAGUCCUCUCUGUGACAUACAGCAGGCCAUGUUGUGGUCAACUGAAAACAAUAAAAAAGAAAGGCUGUUCUACUGUCCAUUUCCACUAGUGUUAAACAAUCAAAUGUCAGGGUGUUUUUACUCCCAGAAGGAGUUAAGCUAAAUCAGAGAAUGUGUAUAUAAUAUGAGGGCAACAGUUUACUUCAGCUUUGCCUUCAGAUGUAGAUAUUUAAGUCUGUAGAAAGAAGCACUAGGUUGUUGAAAAUGUGAAAUAUAAUUGGCUAUUUAUCAGAAACCUUUUUCUGUGAUUAAAAACCAUGAGGAGCUCUAGAGGAACUAGAAUCCACAUGAACAUUGCAAUGAAAUGUGGCUUACAUUUAUCUACCUAGAGAAAAUGUAUUUUGAAAUGACAUGUAAAUUGACGUCAGAGAUUCAAGUCAAUUAAUGGGUUCUUACAGUUAAAAUCUUAAAUACCAGUGCUUCUUUAACUAUCUUUCGAAUCAGUUCACUUCUCUCUCUCCUCUAAUUUAAAUUUUUGCCGCAGCUGCCUUUGGUCUUGGUUGUAUCUUUCCUGUUUCAUUCUCAUUGCAGCCUGCAUGAACUCUCUAAAAUAGAGAUCUGCUGUGCUUAAGAUCCUUCAAUGGUUUCUCCCAAGAUAUUGGGAUCUCUGAAGACAAGGACUGUGUCCCCAGAAACUCAUCGACUCUCUGGUGUCUCUGGGUCUACGCACAUGAUGUCUCCAAGGCCAGGUAUCAUUAUUUAUCUAAAUCUCCGGAGCCAUUGAGGACCAAGAUCAUACUUGCUGAAUAAAUGCACGGAGCAGGAUCAGAGGAUAGACACAGAAUGGGCCAAGAAGAGAAAUAUUAUUCCUCAUAAGAGCUUGCUUGAUUGCAACCACCAAGGACAUCCACAAACCAGGGCAAGAAGGACCAUCCGUAAUUCUUUCCCAUAAAUAGUGACAGGAAGAAAAUAAACGCCCUAUUCUUCAAUGAUUUGAACCACCUCUGGAGCACAAACUUUCUCUAAAUUCACAGGGCAAAUAUCCAUCAUGGGGCAGGUAUCUAUGCUGCCAUGGAAAGUAACAUAAAAUGUACUAAGUCAUCACAGGGAGUUUUAAUUUUGUUUUUAAGGUCAAUUGCCAUGCUGGGGUAAAAAGCAUUGAUCCUUGCCUUUUAUCACCGGAAAAAUUCUUCACCAGUACUUUGUGAAAAUCUCGCCUCAUCAGGGCUGCCAAGGUCAAUGCAACCUAAGUAACCAAGCUGGGAGAUGCUUGCCUAAUUAUUAAAUAUUUAGCAAACAGUUUGUGACUAUUUAACUGUUUGCACCUGGCACCCUCUUUUCACUACGUGAGGCCUCCUGGCACCCUGACCUCUUCCCCCACCCCUACCCACUGCCCAGGCCGCCAGCACCCCUGGGGGGCAAAUACCGGGACCCAAGGGCAUUUCAAAGAAACAGCAGAGGUCACAUUCCAUUUCCUUUUUAUUAAAAAACAUACUUAAAAUGGGGGAGGAGGGCACAGAUCUAAGGUAAAAUCUCUUGCAGUUUUUUCAAGUUCGCAUGCACCGUUGAAAGUUCAUUAGUUAGGGAUUUAAAAGCAAAAAUGUUUCACACAACCAAUUAAACGCCAAGCUUUACAAACGCCUUGGUCUUUGGUUUUGGGAAUCUGUAAAAGUCCGCCUCCCCCCACCCGAGUUUUGCCCCUUUUAGAGCCCCUUUGUUGAAUUACGUGACUUUUCCCGAAGUCAUCAAACUUUGAAUUGCGUCUCUAAUUUUUUUUUUCAGGGCAAAAGCAAAUCAAGAAAUUAAACUUAAAAGUAGGCGACUCGGAGAGAAGUGGGGGAAAGCUCGCCCCAAAGCCAAGUUCCGCAGGACUAAAGCCCUCUUUGCGCGCGCGGGGCGGGG